CUUCUUGCUCUUUCCGCCUAUAUACCGCCGUCGUCAGCUCACCCUCUGAAGGUUUAACAGUAAGCACAAUGACUUUUCCCCAGUACGUCAGGUCGAGGUGUAGCGAAUGAAGUGGGAAGAAAUGGGCUACAUUCUCUCUACAGAGAAGAUACGAACAGAAGCAUGAAAAACUUCUUAAAGGUGGAUUUAGCAGUAAGUAAAACUUAGAAUAUUACACUGAAGCCGGCUCUGGAGUGCGCACACACCGCCCGUCACUCUCCUCGAGAAUAACUACCCAUUUUUAUAAAAAGAAUUAAAAACAAGAGGAGGCAAGUCGUAACAUGGUAAGUGUACCGGAAGGUGCACUUGGACUAAC
RNAcentral lists this ribosomal RNA (355 nucleotides) under Brevitrygon walga (dwarf whipray). RNAcentral describes it as "partial 12S ribosomal RNA". It matches the Rfam family "Bacterial small subunit ribosomal RNA", at positions 1022 to 1527 of the family's 1533-position model. Lineage: Eukaryota; Metazoa; Chordata; Chondrichthyes; Myliobatiformes; Dasyatidae. The record is from RNAcentral.